Molecule: long non-coding RNA, 3597 nt
Organism: Amphiprion ocellaris (clown anemonefish)
Lineage: Eukaryota; Metazoa; Chordata; Actinopteri; Pomacentridae
Source: Ensembl
GCUGAAGGAGAUCUCAGGGAGGAGCUGUGCCGGCUCCAUGUCCUUAACCUGUUUGCAGAAGGGCAACGGAGGGCGGAGCGAAGGGAAAGGCAACAUACCCUUCGUCCGAAAUGGAACACCAGGUGGCAGGAAGUGGGCAGGAGGCCUUUGAAGAUGACCCCUGGUCUCCGCGUUGGGAUGGUCUCGGCGAUCGAUUCAGCCAGAGAUGGCAGGGAGGGGAGCCAGGUGCCCCCAGAGGGUCUUCAGACCACGCAGAUCUAUUAUGGGCGAGGAGGAGAGAGUCGGCUGGGGCCCAGCCCCACUGCUCCCAGUCAUAUCACUGUGGACACAGCCAGAGUCAACUGGCUGCAUCCUAACAAGCAGGCAAACACUGAGAACAGUCUGGUGCACAACAAACUCAACAGGCUCUGCCUCCAUACUGUAAGCUUUAGGAAGGGCUUCCACUGCAGACUGCUGUCAAAUCUGUAUAUAAAACAUUGCAUAACACUGAAUAAUUGGUGUGAGCCCAUACAUGCUAGUAUGCUACGUCUGACACAUGUAACACAUGCAGGUCAGCGAAGAGCAUUUGGAAAUGAAAGAAUCAGAGACACAGAAAUGAGCUUGUUUCGUAUAUUAAUAUAUUUAUUUUCUUACAACCACAGAUUGCAGUUGAGUGACUUGAGAAACUGUGGUGCAGAAGUUGUGGGCUGAAAUGAUAAAUCAACAACAAAAACAAGAUUCAAUAAUACCACAUAACAGAAAGAGCGAGGAAUCAUCAAAAAAGGGACACGAACAAAAAGAAAGCACAAAAGCAGAAAAUUAAAUCAGCAGAUGUUUGUGUGCAAGUGUGCACACGUGAUUGUGGCGAGCUGCUAAGUGAUCUGGUAAAUUGCCAACAUUACACUGAAUUUGUCAGAAAGAAAAUAUCAGCAAAUACUGAACAGCCAUUGUAUGUUUUGGGAUAGUUUUGCCAGUUAACACUAAUGCAAAAACAUCCAGUGAUAAAGCUGAAAUAAUGAGAGGAAUCAGUAGGUAGAUUUGCACGUCUAUGAAUCAGGCUUCCAUUCAUAGUGUUCAUCUAGGGCAGCUCCAGAAAUGCGCGGGCUGCUUUGUAUUUUGGCCAGCUUUGGAGGAGGCAAGGAAAUGAAAGCUGGGCACUGGGAGAAGGAUGGCUGCAAGAAAUGAAGACGUGUCUGAUUUCCUCAGCAACCAAUGAUGUUGCAGCGCUCUGUACUCUCUGCCCUCUGAUAGGGGUCGCACCUGAUUGUACUGUGCUCCUUCACCAAUCAAAGCCUGCAGGAAGUGAGGCAUUUUUUUUCUCCAUUGUGCUCCCAUGGCCAGGGUUGGGACUCACUAAUGGCUCGACGGCCUCACUGUGCAGGCUGCUGGCGAAGAGAAACCAGGGGGAGAAGGAAAAGGAAGAAGAAGAAGAAGCAGGAGGAGGAGAACGGGGAAGAGAGGGAGGAAAAAUGAGUCGCUAAAGAGCAAGGGGUUGCCCUGAAGGUUAACAUCUCAAUCAUGAGGGGACAAUGCUCUCUAGUCAAAUGGUUUCGGCUUCUUGAAAGUCAAGAUGAAGCCACAGGGCACAACAGUGUCAAAGAGGCAGCCGGGAGAUCGGCUCUCUGCACCGCAGGAUGACCAGGACACGUGUGUUUGAGGUGGCAGGUUGCUGUGUUUACGUGUGCACGCCACACACACCCCCACCUUGCGUGCUGGAAACAGCUAUAACCUCACAACAUACAGAAGGACUGGGGGUGGGAUAUCAGUUUCACUUUAUUUUUUUCUGACAAAUGACACUCUGACAGUUGGAAAAAAUGUUGGGGUCCCUGAACAGAUUUCUCAGUUACAAAAAUAAAAUGUGUUGGAUCAGACAAAGACAGACAUUUUACAUUCUACUUUUGAACCCCAAUGAGAGCACUGACAAAUGCCACCCCACCCCCACUCCGUCUGUGCCAUGAUUGUUUUUUCUCUCCAGAAAUGUCAUAUAGUUAAGAGGUGAUAAUUCUAUAUGGCACAAACAGACACUGACUUCUUCCAAGUGUACAUAGCAUAUAGGCUGACAGAUUGAGAUGGUGUAACAUGUCUUUGCAUCACUCUAAAUAGGCAUGCGAGCUUUAAACAUUCUUUAUAUACCCUGAGAUUCCAUUGGAAACCUUCUGAAAUGGAAAAAAGAACUCAAAUGCAUUGCACUGGAGGUGAAAAAAAAUGUUCAGAGGUUAAAAAUAGCGCAGACCUCAGUGAUACGUGAAAAACUGUAGUACUCUUAUGUGUGUGCAGGUGUAGCCUACAUUCACGAAAACUCUCGAAAUGCAGAAAACUGCAUUGAUACACAUCGUACUGAAUCCCCUGAGGGUUGAUGUUAACGCUUAGUCUGCAGCGCAACAGAUCCUAUGUUAAAUGCACAUUUAAAGAAACGCUUAUGUCAGUUUCUAUGAAUCUUGUGAUGCAUUUUUUUUGCUUCCAACAGUUUAAAGAGAAACUUUUGUCAGAUUUAUGUCACGUCAACACUUGAAUUUAGCGUCUUUCAGAGCCCUUAUGUUUUAAGUUAGGUUAAACAUGAAAUGCAAAACUUAAUUGUAGCUGCUGCUUUGGUGAUUUACUCUAUAAUGAAGAAUUGUAGGUAAGUGAGAGUCGGUGGCUUUUUAAAAUUCAAAUAAGACAAACACUUCUGAAACACCUCCACAUUGAAACAUCCUCUUUCACAGAUGAAAAUUAAGCCAUGCUCUUUUGCAGACUGGUAGUAGUGUGAGUGGAGCCAAAUGAUCUGCAAAUGAGGCGAAACGUUUAAGUAGCUUAGGGGACUGCAGGAAGUCAACCAUGAAACACGUGGUUCUUCCAAAGCAGUGUAAAAAUUAAUACUGGUGCUCAAAAAUACCUAAAACUAGAAAUAUAACUGGACAAUAGGAGGUCAAAAUACAGUGAGUGGAUUUGAGUUAAUGGGUCAGUGCAACCAAAUUACUUAUUUUCUCACUAACAUAAAUCUAAACAUACAGAAAGUUGGGGUUUUGUUGUUUAGUAUUUGGAGAUUUCUGUCUUUCUCUUAAAUAUUCACUGAGAGGUCUGUUCAAGAACCAGUGUAACAAGAGCAUCGUUUCCGUUCAAUGAUUUGGGUGAAAGGACUGUUUAAAGCUCAGGUAGGCAUUUUUCCCAUAAUACCCUGUCAGGAUAUUGUGACUCAAGUAGUCUGAGAGAGAAUUUUGCACUUCCUCUUUGUUCUUUGGAAAAUCUAACCUGAAAUGUCAGUCACAGGGCGUUUCAUGCAGAUCAUUUGAGAAAGUAUAAAAAGCAACAAGUCUACAGUGGAAAUAGGAGGUGUGGUGCAAUGGGACAAACAGAGGGAUCAAAACCUGAUACAAGCUAGAAGUGAAUAUAAGGCUGAUUACUUUUGUGUAAUUGAAGCUGCUGAGGGGCUGUUUGUUGUUGUUGUUUGUUUGUUGAUCAGAGCUUUCCAGAUUACUGCCUACUGCAGCUUUAAGACAUAGUUUGCAUGAUGGCAGCAAGAACUAAAGAAGUAACGUAACCUGGAUGAAGAACUUGCCUGAGUCACUUCAAAUUCAAAGUAACGUCAACACAAAUUAAAAUGAUGAUUUGAAAGUGUAUUAAAUGGUAGCAGAGGCA